CUAACAAGUUCUAAUACCUAGAUGGUUCCCAGAUCCACCAGCUUACAAAAAAGCAGCCUUUACAUCACUGUUCAAAAGAAUGUUUUUAUACUGCUCCAACCACCGAGACCUAAACAAUGAAAUUAAUUACAUCUAUGAAAUUGGUCAUCAGCAUGGAAACCCAAAAAGCUUCAUAAAAACUAUAAAUAACCAAAUCCAACAGGCAUCAUACCAAAACCACCUACAACAUUUGAACCAACUACAAGUAGCCAUAAACAGUUAUAUUCUUUUCACUGCUUUGUUAUUACUUUGAAAAAACCAAUUAUCAUAAAGAAAGCACUAAACAGCAGGUAUACAAGUAACAACAAACAUUUAAUGCAAACGUUUUUGAUGCUUACGCAUCCUCUUCAGGAC
RNAcentral lists this long non-coding RNA (393 nucleotides) under Androctonus crassicauda. The record is from RNAcentral. Lineage: Eukaryota; Metazoa; Arthropoda; Arachnida; Scorpiones; Buthidae.